AACCCUUGUCCUUAGUUACCAGCACGUUAUGGUGGGCACUCUAAGGAGGACUGCCGGUGACAAACCGGAGGAAGGUGGGGAUGACGUCAAGUCAUCAUGGCCCUUACGGCCUGGGCUACACACGUGCUACAAUGGUCGGUACAAAGGGUUGCCAAGCCGCGAGGUGGAGCUAAUCCCAUAAAACCGAUCGUAGUCCGGAUCGCAGUCUGCAACUCGACUGCGUGAAGUCGGAAUCGCUAGUAAUCGUGAAUCAGAAUGUCACGGUGAAUACGUUCCCGGGCCUU
This 284-nucleotide ribosomal RNA is filed under the name uncultured Pseudomonadaceae bacterium. Its description in RNAcentral is "partial 16S ribosomal RNA". It matches the Rfam family "Bacterial small subunit ribosomal RNA", at positions 1100 to 1382 of the family's 1533-position model. Lineage: Bacteria; Pseudomonadati; Pseudomonadota; Gammaproteobacteria; Pseudomonadales; Pseudomonadaceae. The record is from RNAcentral.